CCUACGAAUAAGAGCUCCGCCUUUUCGAGACUUGCCUUGCUCUUGGGGAUUUCUUCCCACCGGAUCCUCUGUUCCACUUCCAGGCACCUCCUUGCGGAGCUUUCCGCCUCAAGGAAAUCCCGGUUGUGGGAAACAGCAUUUUCAAAGAAAACUGAUCCUCCCUCAUUCUCCCGCAGAUCCAACCCAAAAUUGAUCUUCUUCUUUCUUGAACGGAAUUUUUUUUUAUUUGCAAAAGAAUUGGUCAAAAACGCCGCCAUGCCGCCAAAUCCGAUCCAAAAUCGAGCAAAAUCUUAUUCAUCCACAUUAUUUUACUAAUUGUACCUACUUCCUGCUUUCGAAAGUGCUUGCUUGCUGACGGGCAUCCCGGCGGGAUGUCUUACCCUCCCUCGAGUCCGAUCUCGGGAGGGGUCUUGCUAUUACCCGCAGGGAGCGCAGCAACCGACGGUGCAUAUUGCGGCGCCCUUUGUGCGUGAAUUUCAUACGACGAUGACGCCAAUGUACCCACAUCGGGCCGACUUGACCAUAAGGUCGGAUGUUUCCGUGAGCAGUAAGCAGCGGAUCUCCCCUUUUUGGGGGAAAGCUGGUGGCCCUUUUGGCGUGUUAAUUCUUUCGACGGGGUGUGGUAACUGCCUUUGGGUCCGCACACCACUCCUUAUGUUCAGCUAAAAAGCCUUCCGGGCUACCCCUUAGAACACCUAGUAAAACUACUAGUCCUGGUCGAUACCUUCACCCUUGCUUUCCCAACCGUCAACUAGUGGGCUUCGGUGAAGGAAAGGAUGGCAUUGGAUAAGAAUUUAGCCCCACCCCCUGCAAGCUCGUCAAAUAACUCAAAGGACUGGAAAUCCUAAAAAAGCGCCCUUUGACUCGAAAUCAAAUUUGUGCUAGUGGUUCGAAUCCACAACAGAACAAUGAAUGAAUGAAAUGAAUGAAUGUGGGCGGUCCCCAGACGACAAGUGUGUGAUCAGAAGCCUUUCCUUUAGCUGUUUAGCAAAGAAUGACCUUGGUUAUCAAAGGAUUGAACGACCGGGCCGUUGCUUGUUCUUUCGGUAGCCUUCUUUCAUUUCCGAAUUUGCUUGCGAGCAGUCCUUGCAUUAGUAUGAGUUCGUUGACCGCGUAAGGGCGGGGUAAAGAAGUUAUUUCAACAACGUUCCUGUCAUCAAAUCCUGAUUCAACAAAGCCAUGCCAGCUGUGUUGGUCGUUCCUCCGAUUCAAAGUUCUCUUGGAUUCCAAAAAGCAUCGCUACCCGCAUACUGAAGUUGGAAGGAGUACGCCCGGUUUGUCUUGAUUUGCUUCAUCCAUGAUUCCCCUUGUGGAGUGAUCGUCGUGCUUAGGUGCACUAGUUUUCACAUUUGGAUUUGUUCCAUCAUUAGUGGUACUAGAACCAGACCCCGUUGAACAUAUUUUCAAAAUGUUCCAUCAUUGGGUAUAAGUAGAAUCUUCAUAGCCCAAAAAAAACACAGUCAAAGUCAAACGUUUGUCGGUGGCACAGAGUUGUGAUCUUCGAUUAGAUAGUUUCCAUGCUUUUGAUAAAAAUAUGGGUUGGUAGGCAGGAUGAGAAGUUCAGUUAAAGAUUUCUCUCUGCUCCAAUUCCUCUGAGCUGUCAUAAUUGAAUAAAAGGGAUCGUAUAGCUUUCCAAUCCAGCAACAUACAUCUAUCACCUAGGCAUAACUGCCAACAUCAGUAUGCAGUCUUUGGGGGUGGGAUUUUGGAAUUGGAAGGUUUGACAGCGCGGCCAGCCGUACUUAAUAAUAGAAGGAUUUGGCAGAAAUAUGUAAAAUUGUCCCUCCUAAAAAAAUUAUUCCAGAAUAAAUGGGCAAUAGUUAGGAGAGGUGCGCCAGCGGCUCACUAGGCUUCUUGCUGCGGUGAAGUUGCUUCAUCACCCGACUCAACAUCAGCCUCAUCCCCCCCAUUUUAAGCUUUCGAAAUCGGAGAUAAGAAUUGAAUCGAUUUCAGGCACUUCCCUCAAGCCGAAACCGGAACAGGAAACUUGUAACUUCUAGCCGAGAAGGAUAAGAGAGGUUUGCUCGGUCUACAGCUUGGUUUGAAAUGAGGGAGCCAUACCGUGUGGUUGAAGCAGAGUACCGUUUUGCAGUGGAUAGGGCACUAUCUCUAUUCGUAGCCUAAGGGGAAUGAGCAACAAAAUGACAAGAUGAAGUGCCCCGGGCACCCCCAUAUAGAAAGAAGGGUCGAAGGUUUUGGGCCUGUAGCUUUCCCCGCCCCCCCCCCUCGUCGAGUGGUGCUUGUUUGGGGGGUGUGCCACCAGAAAGCGGGCUUGACUCAUUUCAUAAUUGAAUAAAAACGAGGAGCCGAAGAUUCUAGGGGGCUACAGCUGCGCUUUUGCAGCACUGAACAUGGUUCCGGGAGACGGCCAUCUCGAGGCACAUCACGACCUACAGGCAACACCGGCGAGACCCAGGAAGGUAACCCGAUUGGGAGCGUAAGGAUGCAUAGUAGCCUUCAAAGAGCACUCUUUGGCCUUGAGAAAAGCCCCUUUCUCAUCAACAUCUCAACUUCGCUCGUUGUUUGAGGUAAGUAUAAAGGAGAUCAGAUCUGUCCCAUGCCAUCCUUCGGGAUCCUAUCCUAGCACUUGUCCUCGUUGCUUUAAUUCGUGCGUUUGCACCUCAUUGAACUUCUCCAAAACCCUCCUCCAAGAAGAAUUGUGCUAUGCCCCCCCCCCCCGAUAUCCCUAUAGAGCGAAAGAGCUGCCUGGCUACUCGAUCGAGAAGAAAGAGCAGUUGUUACCCGCACAUUCCAGUCAUCAAAUAAAGGAAAUCGCAAUCCUAAAUCCGGAAAGGAAUAACGAUUUAGGGCCUGGUUUUACUAGAACAAUACGUUCCCCACGAGAGGCGGGCAAUGUUCGCGAGCCCUGUCCGAUUGGACGAGAAAUCCCCAAACUCUAAUGUGCUUUACUUGGAAGUAGGCCACUCUUUCACUGUGAGGAUCUUCUUUUAGUCUGUAGCCACCCCUUGCCCACCAACAGAGCAAAAGAACGCUCAAAUGAGGAACUAGAAUAUAAAAGUGCAAAAUCUCCUACCGAACAAAGAAAGCACUAUAUCUCAUUUUAAAAAUCUGGUAAAAAUUCUUCAACCUAACUCAACACAACUAUAUUUCGACUGUAUAUGUAUGUUUGUAACGUGCCACAAAACCAUCUUAAGAUUAGACAGUUAUCAAUCAGCAAACGCAUUGACCACAUGCAAAAAAUCAAGACGGAUCUCCUUCCUUUUAUUUGGUGCUUUCCUUUUAUAAGUCACCGGGGCAUACAAAUCCGCUUAUGGCAUUCACCCAAGCAUACAGAGACAGAUGGAAUGAAAGAAAGAAAAAGUAGCUCCGCAGCUCGCCCAGAAGAAGAAAGACCCGCCGCUAACGAUUUGGAAAUCCGAAUUCAUUGGUUUAGCCAUUCCAAUAACAAUUAGUUCCAUACCUUGGUCUCUUCCCUUGGUCCAUAAUAGUCAAAUGAAUGAUCUAUCAUGCAGAUCCCCUAUCGGCAAUUCUCUAGUUUACAAAUAGGCCUCUGAAUCGAUUCACCGACAUCUGAUCAUUGAUACCGACAUCAGCUACUGAUAUCUAGACUUGGUGCAAUCUAAUCGAUUAUUGGGAAUUGGAAGUAGUAGCUCUAGCUGAAAGAAAUCCCCCACCCAAGUUAGGUAACUAAUAGGCAGGCACCCCAUCUAAUUAGUACUUUAGAGUAAAGAAAAGACUGUUCACUUGCAUUCCCGCACCUCAUGAGUAUCUUUCGACCGAGGAUCGCCUGACAUGUUCCGCUCUUGUUAAAGAAGCAUAUCGAUCAAGUGUCAAUUCGUCGGAUGAGACCUUUGCUUUCCUUCCACAGGUUAAUGAGCGCUAUAUUCGGGAAGUACAGGAUACCAGAGAAACUCGCCUUACAAGCUCAAUAAAUUGCAAUUCUUCACCUUUUCCUCAGACAGUGGGAAUGCAUUUUCUUACUUGAUUGACAUUGACAGAUAUGUGUACCACACCGAACAAGCAAUAUGUCAUAUGCUUGAUGUACCAGCCAAGCCAGCUCUUUUUUUCUCAGUUCCCUUAUCCUUAGCGCAAAAGUAAAAAGAAAAUGAAAGAGAGUUUGUAUUUGCAAAUGAAAAUGAAUAUGGAUCUAAAUAAAUUAGAUAAUCAAUCAAUAAAUAAGAAUUGGAAUAAUAGAAAAAAUAUCCUUCGCUCCUUAUCUCUUCAUCAUCGUCGGUUCCGUCACUUGUGGUAUUCGUUUAGAAUCUUGUUGACCCUACUCGCUUACUCCUAUUUUCCUUAUUUCUUUUAAUUAAUUGUCCGAAUGGAAGUUCAUUCAUUGGAGUAGUGCCAAGCAAGAAAGUGCUCAAAGGUAUCAUAGUUCAUAGGUAUUAACAGGAUCCUUCUUGCAUCAAUUGGAUUGAAAAUUGACGUGAUUAGCUGCUCGUCCCAAGUACCCGAAGCAGGGUCAAUCAACUCAUUUACCUUUGUGAGAAGUGUACCUCCCCUUUCCGUAGUGAUUUUACUAUUGGGACUUCCUGGAACCCAAGGGUCGUUCCAUAUGUUAAUUUGCUCUCAUGUUCCAAUUCUCCUAAUGUGUCUACGUUUAUAUGCAUAUCCAGCUUUACUGCACAAAGCCCCGGCCCUGACCUCUUAUUUUUUAUUGAGUGAAUGCAUUAAUAAGCCACCAGAAUGUUAUCCGUUAUUAAACGGCCGGGUACAACAAAAGCACUCUGUGUUUGUGAAAUUACCUCAUCCAGUACUGUACGGAACUGAGAUAUUUCCUGCGGGGAUCUCACCUUUGGGAUUAAAACAAUAACAGUUCUAUUAAUGAUCUCUGGGAGGUAGCCGCAGUUUAGGAAACCAAGGACUGCAGCCGUUUUCUCGCAGAGCCGAGUCGGGCUAGUAAGAAGUAGCUACUUUAUGCAGCUUUGUAUCUGGUCCGGGACCUCAUCAUAGCAAAAAAUAUUAAUAUUUUUUUUAUUACUCAUAAUAUUAAAUAAUUUUAUGAAGAAGGAAAGUUGGCUGUGAGAAUGAUUUCUCGUACGUAGUCUUUCCUAGGACCAUUCCAACAGGAUGCUAAAGCGGAUACGUUUUCUUUCUGGGUUCGGUUUGUUUUUGGGCGGUGGGGCAAUAAGCUUGCUUUAUCCCCGCCCCCUUUCCUGUCCGUCCCGACUGGCAGCAGUUGGGUCUCCCCAUCUCUCCUCAACUUCCCCGGUCUUCGGCCCGAGCUGUAUGAGGCAGAAACUCGUCCCACGUCAGAUUAUGCUAUUUUAUUAGUAGCUUUCGGUCUCGAUUCGCCCUUACCUCGGAGGCCACCAUCCCAUAACAAAAAAGGGGGGCGAAGGUUAUUUUGUACCAAUGAAGACGGAUUUAUCUCUCGAGCUGCUCAAAGAUCUUUAAGUGGCUGCACAAAUAGAUGGAAUAGCAGCAAAUAGCAUAUUUCUAUCCUUCAUAUCCGUAGAAAUCAAUCUCAUCUCCAGGUAACUCCAUCUUUUUCAGCUCUGCUCCCGAAAAGAGCACAAAUCGUUGUGCUCCUCACUGCUCAAGAGACUUCUUAUUUUCUUCUUACCCUUCGAGAAAGAGGCCUUGCUUUCGCACAGGAAGGAAAGAAUUGACUCGGGUAAGUAAGUCCUAUUGGGGGAUUAAGGGCUCGAGUACGAUUAGAGCGCCUUUUUUCUGCUGAACCUGGUAAACGAACAAAUAGGUGGUCUUUCCGGAAAUGUGAAACAAAAGUUUUUCCCUCGCAUCUCGGUCACUUUUACUUUUUCGUUAUUUCGUAAGCCUGUCUUCUACUUCUCCUCCUCCGGUUAUUGAUAUUACAAUCGUAUCUUAUGCAUUCUCUCCUGACGACUCGGCUUCGGCUCAAGGCCCCAGAGGGAGAGUAUCAUUAUUGAGUUGACUAACUCCAACCUCGGUAUAAAAUUCUUUAUCAGCGGGUUCGCUUUUCCAGAAUAGAAAUUUGUAUGAAUUGCCUAGAGGGUGGAGAAGUCACAUCAUCUGAGGUUUGUUGUGGGUUCAAUUAUGACCCCGGUCUAGAAGACGGAGUGGUUNNNNNNNNNNNNNNNNNNNNNNNNNNNNNNNNNNNNNNNNNNNNNNNNNNNNNNNNNNNNNNNNNNNNNNNNNNNNNNNNNNNNNNNNNNNNNNNNNNNNGAAAUCCAAAAGGAACUGGAGUUUUUGGUGCGAUCGCUGGGGAAUUGAGACUUAUGAAUUUCACUAAAAGAGUCUCAUGAGCUCCUGAGGUAUUAAAAAUACUAGUAGUAGAGACUAUGAUAUAGUAGGGUAUCAGAAUAUAGAUCAAUUAGUAGAUUGUGUCUGACGCAUAUACAUGAAAAAAAAGAAUAAUUAGAUAAUAAUAAGAAUAAGAAUUCUAAUCUUAAUAAAAGGAAGGGUUCGAAUAGCAUCUACUAAUAUUACCGAAAACUUUGUGAAAAUACUUCUACGAGAAGGUUUUAUUGAAAAUGUUCGAAAACCAUAGGGAAAGUAACAAAUCUUUCUUGGCACGUGCCCCUGCUCCUGGUCUUCGAACUAGUCAUUAAUGGUCGUCAACAUAGGUACCCUUUUUCGGUAUGCGUUGCCUUUAAUAUUAUGAAAAAAUAUUAAAUAAUUUUUUUAUUACUCAUAAUAUUAAAUAAUUUUAUUAUACCCUUUAAAUAUUAAAUAUAUAUUUAAAUAUNNNNNNNNNNNNNNNNNNNNNNNNNNNNNNNNNNNNNNNNNNNNNNNNNNNNNNNNNNNNNNNNNNNNNNNNNNNNNNNNNNNNNNNNNNNNNNNNNNNNGCCUCGGACGUCCGGAGGAGGCCGGAUGUCCGAGGCACUGGUCCUCUUUUCUGAUAACAGCAGAGCAGUGGAGAUGUGGUAAGAGCAGAACAUUGGAUAUCUAGUUUGAGCAAGUUCAUCACAAAACCUGUGAUCCCCUCUUAAUAGUGCGGGAUCCCUAAAGACUCAAGAAUUAUAAAAGGGGUACCGAUGAUCCAUACUUGAGUGUAUACUUUUAUUCGCUGAUCAUCACUCCGCACCACUAACGUCAAAGGAACUGAUACCUUUGAGUUAGCCCUUUCACUUGAGCUUCAUGUUGUUGUUCCUUCUUGGCUCAAGUUGAAAGCAAGACAUGAUGAAGUCUUCAAGCAGCUCUCCCAUUCACAAUGUGGAAAGCCUAGCUUAUGUAUUCAUCUUCAUUUGUCCACCAUGUGAACAUCCACAAGAAUCAAGCAUGUAGUGCUCAGGAAUGCUUAUCUUGAUCUUGUCCUUGUUAGCACAUGAGCUUGUCCUUAUCAACACAUGAUCAUUAACAAUAGUUUCAAUAAUAUAUUCGUGCUGAUCCACUUGAACUUUCACACCACAAUCUUGAUGACGAUCACCACUUGACGUCAUCCUUCAUGGGUUGUACGAGAUCUUCCUUUUGACGCAAGCCCAUGGAAGCACACCUAACCCCCACAUAGGACUCUCAGAAAGACCUUGGGUUAGUACACAAACACGUAAUGGACAAUUCUUACCAUACCAUGGGAUCACUUGAUCCCUCUCGGUACAUCUUAUACGCUUUGUGUGUUGAUCAUCUUGAUUUACUCUUUGUCUAAGAUCUUGAUCAACCUAGUGUCUCUAUGACCAUUCUUUGGAUAAUACCUUGAAUACCAUCUUGGUCAUCAUAUAAACUCCUUGAACCCAACAGAUGGACUUCAAGAAGUGCCUAUGGACAAAUCCUAUAAAUAUAACUUAAGGCAACCAUUAGCCCAUAGGAAUUGUCAUCAAUUACCAAAACCACAUAUGGAGAUAUAUGCUCUAACAGAGGGGACUUUGGAGUUGGAGGGCUUCAUCAUCAUCAUCAUCGCCCCUCCAAUAACUCGUGAGUAGUUCACUUCAGACCUACGUGUCCGUAGUUAGUAGCUAGAUGGUUUCUUCUCUCUCUUGGAUCUUCAAUACAAAGUUCUCCAUGAUCUUCAUGGAGAUCUAUCCGAUGUAAUCUUCUUUGGCCGUGUGUUUGUCGGGAUCCGAUGAAUUGUGGAUUUGUGAUCAGAUUAUCUAUGAUAUAUAUUUGAGUCUUUGCUGAUUUNNNNNNNNNNNNNNNNNNNNNNNNNNNNNNNNNNNNNNNNNNNNNNNNNNNNNNNNNNNNNNNNNNNNNNNNNNNNNNNNNNNNNNNNNNNNNNNNNNNNCCCCCCCCAAACCGAGUUGGACUUGGUUUGGUGGGUGGGAGUCCUUCCUUCCCUUCCCACCACCUUUUUUUUCUUUUCUCUUUGAUUUUCUUUCCUAGGCGCAUAGGGCCCUUUUGGGCUGUCCCACCAGCCCACUAAGGGCUGGUGCGCCACCCUCAAGGCCUAUGGGCUUCCCCGGGGUGGGUUGCCCCCCCCGGUGAACUCCCGGAACCCAUUCGUCAUUCCCAGUACAUUCCCGGUAACUCCGAAAACCUUCCGGUAAUCAAAUGAGGUCAUCCUAUAUAUCAAUCUUCGUUUUCGGACUAUUCCGGAAACCCUCGUGACGUCCGUGAUCUCAUCCGGGACUCCGAACAACAUUCGGUAACCAACCAUAUAACUCAAAUACGCAUAAAACAACGUCGAACCUUAAGUGUGCAGACCCUGCGGGUUCGAGAACUAUGUAGACAUGACCCGAGAGACUCCUCGGUCAAUAUCCAAUAGCGGGACCUGGAUGCCCAUAUUGGAUCCUACAUAUUCUACGAAGAUCUUAUCGUUUGAACCUCAGUGCCAAGGAUUCAUAUAAUCCCGUAUGUCAUUCCCUUUGUCCUUCGGUAUGUUACUUGCCCGAGAUUCGAUCGUCAGUAUCCGCAUACCUAUUUCAAUCUCGUUUACCGGCAAGUCUCUUUACUCGUUCCGUAAUACAAGAUCCCGCAACUUACACUAAGCUACAUUGCUUGCAAGGCUUGUGUGUGAUGUUAUAUUACUGAGUGGGUCCCGAGAUACCUCUCCGUCACACGGAGUGACAAAUCCCAGUCUUGAUCCAUACUAACUCAACUAACACCUUCGGAGAUACCUGUAGAGCAUCUUUAUAGUCACCCAGUUACGUUGCGACGUUUGAUACACACAAAGCAUUCCUCCGGUGUCNNNNNNNNNNNNNNNNNNNNNNNNNNNNNNNNNNNNNNNNNNNNNNNNNNNNNNNNNNNNNNNNNNNNNNNNNNNNNNNNNNNNNNNNNNNNNNNNNNNNGCCAUACAAGACUGCACAUUGAACUACUGAGUAGUCCUCCUUACGUGCUAACCAAGCGUUCUUAACAUCCUGAUCAGCCGUAGCGGGUGGUUCAUCUCCUAGCGCAGCAUUAAGGACAUAAUCCUUCUUCCCAGCUUGUAAGAUUAGCUUAAGAUUACGAGCCCAGUCUACAAAGUUGCUUCCAUCAUCUUUCAACUUAGCUUUCUCUAGGAACGUAUUAAAAUUGAGGGUGACUGUCGCGUGAGCCAUGAUCUACAACACAAAUAUAUUCAAAGUGGACUUAGACUAUGUUCAAGAUAAUUAGAGUUUAACUUUAAUCAAAAUUAUACGCUAAACUCCCACUCAAAAAGUACAUCUCUCUUAGUCAUUUGAGUGGUUCAUGAUCCACUUACACUAGCUCAAGUCCGAUCAUCACGUGAGUUGAGUAUAGUUUCAGUAGUAAGCAUCCCUAUGCUAAUCAUAUCAUCUAUACGACUCAUGAUCGACCUUUCGGUCUCAUGUGUUCCGAGGCCAUGUCUGCACAUGCUAGGCUCGUCAAGCUUAACCCGAGUGUUCCGCGUGCGCAACUGUUUUGCACCCGUUGUAUGUGAACGUUGAGUCUAUCACACCCGAUCAUCACGUGGUGUCUCGAAACGACGAACUGUAGCAACGGUGCACAGUCGGGGAGAACACAAUUUCGUCUUGAAAUUUUAGUGAGAGAUCACCUCAUAAUGCUACCGUCGUUCUAAGCAAAAUAAGGUGCAUAAAAGGAUUAACAUCACAUGCAAUUCAUAAGUGACAUGAUAUGGCCAUCAUCACGUGCUUCUUGAUCUCCAUCACCAAAGCACCGGCACGAUCUUCUUGUCACCGGCGCCACGCCAUGAUCUCCAUCAACGUGUUGCCAUCGAGGUUGUCGUGCUACUCAUGCUAUUACUACUAAAGCUACAUCCUAGCAAAAUAGUAAACGCAUCUGCAAGCACAAACAUUAGUAUAAACACAACCCUAUGGCUCCUGCCGGUUGCCGUACCAUCGACGUGCAAGUCGAUAUUAUCUAUUACAACAUGAUCAUCUCAUACAUCCAAUAUAUCACAUCACAUCGUUGGCCAUAUCACAUCACAAGCAUACCCUGCAAAAACAAGUUAGACGUCCUCUAAUUUUGUUGUUGCAUGUUUUACGUGGUGACCAUGGGUAUCUAGUAGGAUCGCAUCUUACUUACGCAAACACCACAACGGAGAUAUAUGAGUUGCUAUUUAACCUCAUCCAAGGACCUCCUCGGUCAAAUCCGAUUCAACUAAAUUUGGAGAAACUGACACUUGCCAGUCAUCUUAGAGCAACGGGGUUACUCGUAGCGAUGAAACCAGUCUCUCGUAAGCGUACGAGUAAUGUCGGUCCAAGCCGCUUCAAUCCAACAAUACCGCGAAAUCAAGAAAAGACUAAGGAGGGAAGCAAAACGCAAAUAACCGCCCACAAAAACUUUUGUGUUCUACUCGAGAAGACAUCUACGCAUGAACCUAGCUCUGAUACCACUGUUGGGUAACGUCGCAUGGGAAACAAAAAAUUUCCUACGCGCACGAAGACCUAUCAUGGUGAUGUCCAUCUACGAGAGGGGAUGAGUGAUCUACGUACCCUUGUAGAUCGUACAGCAGAAGCGUUAGUGAACGCGGUUGAUGUAGUGGAACGUCCUCACGUCCCUCGAUCCGCCCCGCGAACAAUCCCGAGAUCAGUCCCACGAUCUAGUGCCGAACGGACGGCACCUCCGCGUUCAGCACACGUACAGCUCGACGAUGAUCUCGGCCUUCUUGAUCCAGCAAGAGAGACGGAGAGGUAGAAGAGUUCUCCGGCAGCGUGACGGCGCUCCGGGGGUUGGUGAUGACCUUGUCUCAGCAGGGCUCCGCCCGAGCUCCGCAAAAACGCGAUCUAGAGGAAAAACCGUGGAGGUAUGUGGUCGGGCUGCCGUGGAAAAGUCGUCUCAAAUCAGNNNNNNNNNNNNNNNNNNNNNNNNNNNNNNNNNNNNNNNNNNNNNNNNNNNNNNNNNNNNNNNNNNNNNNNNNNNNNNNNNNNNNNNNNNNNNNNNNNNNGUGUUUUGUCUAUGUAUCCACACAUGUAAAUGAGUCUUCAUUCAAUACAAUUAUAGCAUGGAUAAUAAACUAUUAUCUUGAUACAGGAAUUAUAAUAAUAACUAUACAUUUAUUAUUGCCUCUAGGGCAUAAUUCCAACAAUCUUUACCUCCGGACCAUUCUGGAGCUCCUCGUGACGUCCGGGAUCUCAUCCGGGACUCCGAACAACUUUCGAUAACCUCGUAUAACAAUUCCCUAUAACCCUAGCGUCAUCGAACCUUAAGUGUGUAGACCCUACGGGUUCGGGAGGCAGGCAGACAUGACCAAGACACCUCUCCGGCCAAUAACCAUCAGCGGGGUCUGGAUACCCAUGGUGGCUCCCACUUGCUCCACGAUGCUCUCAUCGGAUGAACCACGAUGUCAAGGAUUCAAUCAAUCCCGUAUACAAUUCCCUUUGUCUGUCGGUAUAGAACUUGCCCGAGAUUCGAUCGUCGGUAUACCUAUACCUUGUUCAAUCUCGUUACCGGUAAGUCUCUUUACUCGUUCCGUAGCACGUCAUCGUGUGACUAACUCCUUAGUCACAUUGAGCUCAUGAUGAUGUUCUACCGAGUGGGACCAGAGAUACCUCUCCGUCACGCGGAGUGACAAAUCCCGAUCUCGAUUCGUACCAACCCAACAGACACUUUCAGAGGUACCCGUAGUGCACCUUUAUAGUCACCCAGUUACGUUGUGACGUUUGAUACACCCAAAGCACUCCUACGGUAUCCGGGAGUUGCACAAUCUCACGGUCGAAGGAAAAGACACUUGCCAUUAGAAAAGCUUUAGCAUACGAACAAUACGAUCUAGUGCUAUGCUUAGGAUUGGGUCUUGUCCAUCACAUCAUUCUCCCAAUGAUGUGAUCCCGUUAUCAAUGACAUCUAAUGCCCAUGACCAGGAAACCAUGAUCAUCUAUUGACUAACGAGCUAGCCAACUAGAGGCUUGCUAGGGACACAUUGUGAUAUAUUUAUUCACCCAUGUAUUACUGUUUCCUAUUAAUACAACUAUAGCAUGAACAAUAGACGAUUAUCAUGAACAAGGAAAUAUGAUAAUAACCAUUUCAUUAUUGCCUCUAGGGCAUAUUUUUAACAGAAAUGUCAAGCGAGGCUUGGAAGACAACGAUGUUGACGUCUAUAAGGUGGAGUGCCCGAAUGAAGGGGCCAUUGGUGGCGAUGUUCAUUCCUUGCUAGAAGGAGGAGGCGAAGGGACACCACAAGAUGAGAUGCUCACAAGUCUCCGGGAGGUCGGGGCUGAGAGAACAAUCAACCCCCUCAACACCAAUGAUGGUUUUCCAGAGGAGGAUGCCACCCGUGUGGAUGCCGGAAAGGGUGAGCAGUGAAGCAAAAAAAAUUGACCCGCAACGAGACCCUGGAAGCCCAACUCAUGGCAGUGUAUGGUGCCGCACGGGACAACUCAUAGAGGUGAGCAGUCGACAGAGUACCACACACACUACCACAUAGGGGAAAGCCGACGAUCAUCAGGGUAGUUGGAGGAGGCGAACCAAGGUGAUCAUGUCCCAAAUUAUGUAGUCUACAAUUUAUUUUAUUAAACUUUACAUGUCCCAAAAUAUUAGUACAAAGUUAAGUCAUUUUUGAGUCACUUAUUUUGGGACGGAUGGAGUAUAUGAUUUCACAGUUUUUUUGAAAACUUUGAAAUGACAGUUUCAUUUUCUGCAAAGUAUCGAACUUCGACCUAAGAUGUCGCUCUCUAGGAGGAAGCGUUUCCUCAGCAUGAUCGAUGCAAAUAUAAUAGGAUGACGUAGGCGGGUUAUAAGAUAUGCCACAUAAUUUUUUUGUCUAGUUGAACUAAAGGAAAAGAUGAGAGAGAAAAGAAGCAGGCUGUAGAGUUACAACCGGCUGUAGCACGGACUCCAACACCCUUUGCGAGAGAGACAAAUGAGUGAUAUAUUCAUGAUAUGAUAACUUCGUAUAGACGGUUGUUGGCUACACUAUUAACCUUGCUCUUAAACACAGACACACAGUGACGGUGCCGGCUCAGUCUCUCGAAGACGCUCAUAGGGAUAGGAUAUGCAUGCGGGCGUUCAUAGGGGUGAGUGUAUGUUUAUGUAUGUGAGCGACUUCGAUUAUACUCUGUUAAAAAAGACAUGUUGUAGUGGAGCUAUAGCGUGAUAUUUAGAACCAUGUUAUUUAACCAUGUACAUCCCUCCUGUAUGAUUAAAAGGAAUAUAAUAAAACAAAAUAAAGGAGAUAUAUAUAGCUCGUAACGCAGAGUUAAGUACUCCCUUCGUUCCAAAAUAUAAGACCUUUUAGAGAUUUCACUAGAAGACUACAUACGGAACAAAAUGAAUGAAUAUAUACUCUAAAAUAUGUCUAUAUACAUCCGUAUGUAGUUUAUAGUAUAAUCUUUAAAAGGUCUUAUAUUUAGAAAGGGAGGGAGUAACUUUUUCGUUCUUUAGUUAUCCACGGUUUCAAUAUAGAACUCUAUUUUUUUUUUUCUCUAGCAGCUCGUCGAUCAUCACUAAGUAGGUGCAGAAUUGCAGAUUCCAGGAUAGCGACCUAACCUUCCUUUCCUACAUAUACCAGACCUACUGAGGUCCAUGGGAAUUAUCAAUCGAGUAGCCGCUAGCCACUCGCCAUCAUGGAGGUGGCAGCGAACGUAGCAACUCCGCCAAGUCGUCUACGCUCUGUCCGUGUGUCGGCAGAGAUGGAAUGUGCUGACAGUUCCACGGCGGAGGAGCUGGAGCCCAUGAGCCCUACCGGAAGAAUCUUGGAGGAGAUGGGCGUCUGCAUCGUCGUAGUGAUGGGGCUCGGCACGCCGGUAAACCUACCCGUCUUCCGUGCCGGCAUCGAAACGGAACUGGUCACCCGAUUCCCACGCUUCAGCAGCAUUCAAGUAAUUACAAGAACUUUCGUUUAAUCUGUGUGGUUCGUGUAUAUAUGUAUUUGAAAUAAUUUACCAUCUGCUUCUAUAUGUAUCCUAAUUAAUCAUCUGCCCACAAUAUUGCAUGUGUAAAAGGUAAUGGAUGGAUGCAAGGAUGGCAAACCAGGAUGGGUGCAAACCAAGGUGAACGUGGACGACCACAUCGUCGUCCCUGUGCUUGAUCCUGCUGCAGUUGUUUCUGACCCGGACAAGACCGUGGAGGACUACAUGGCCUCCCUGUCAACGCUCCCGAUGGACAAGCGUCGCCCGCUUUGGGAGUUCCACUUCCUCGACUUCCCAACCUCCGAGGCGACCUCCACGGCGGUGCUCCGGCUACACCACUCCAUCGGCGACGCCAUGUCAAUCAUGACACUCUUCAUGGCGUCCUCAUGCAGCACAGCUGACCCAUCGAGGCUGCCGGCCAUGCCGCCGCCGCCCAAGCGCACUGGCGCCAUCUACCAACGGCACCCACGGCCUGCGCUGUCCUCGUUAGGCGAUUAUCUGGCGUGGGUAUGGUCGUAUUUCUUGCUGGUGUGGCACACGCUGGUGGACAUCAUGUUCCUUGCUGCCACCAUACUGUUCUUGAGUGAUCCACGCACGCUGUUCAAACGUGCGGACAACGGCGAGUGUCACCGCCGCCAGCGUUUUGUGCAUCGGAGCAUUAGCCUUGACGAUGUCAAGCUCAUCAAGACUAUCAUGAACUGCGUAAGUAGAGCCGUUUAAACUUUUUAUAUUAUCUAAGUGAAACAACGCUACAAAUAAAUUUAAUAAAAACUGCUACAAAAACCGCACAUCGAGGUACCCACCAUCCUGUUAUAAUGUUUUGUAUGCUGUAGUCGAGGGUCUAGAUAGAAGUUUUAAAUAGCGUCCUAUAGCUUUUGGAGAGCCCUCCAACUAAAGCUAUACAUUUUUAACGCUAGACUGAAAAAGACGCUAAUAGUUUGCUAAUUUCCGUUAUAGCGCCUAUAUCUGACUUAUUCUAACCUUAUUCUUGAUAUGUAUGAUGCAUUAAUCCAAGUGUUGGUAACUGAAUUAGGACGCCUGAUCAAUGCUUGAAUUUUACUGUAUAUGAUAUAUCACAUAUGAUGCCUGAUUGUAUGCUUAUUUUUCUAGAGAAAUUAUGGUUUAACAAAAAUGCUAAAUGAGGCCACCGUUAAAUGGCUUAACCUGCUAUUUAAACUUUGGUUUGGAUUAUGUUUAGCUCUGUAUUUUAUAAAAAAUUGAUGAAGGAGUCUACAUAGAACGUUGGAAGAUAUCCCGACAAUUUCUUGGCAAGAUUCAAAUGGUUACUAACAUGGUAGAGGCAACAUUUUUUACAUUUUAAAUCCUCCUCAAACAAUUCAGAACAAAACAUAUAACAAGGAAUGUUCAAAAUAANUUAAAUUAAAUAUGUGGCCUGGCCUUACAAUGCAUAGGUUCAAUGACUAGUUGUUCAAUAGCACGGCUCUGACCCCCUAAGGGCAUCUACAAUGGUGCACUUCAAUAGGGGCACCGGGAUUUUAAACCUGAUCAAUUGGUGGUUAUCCUGACAUCGAGGCUAGAAGUAGAGGCGUACAUGAUUUGCGUCUUGUCAAGUGCCUUGCCUUGAACGAGAGGGUGCUUAGCUCAUUUUCCAAAUUUGGUGCCCAUUUAAGAGUCCAACAUCGUAGAUGACCUCAUAAAGCUAACAGAAAUAUGACUCGCUUGAUGGACGACGCUUUUUGAUUUAACUCAAUGGACAAGUUUGUCUUUCCUUUUCAUUUUUGCAGACUCUAAACGAUGUGCUAGUUGGUGUGACUUCAGCAGCUCUUUCACAAUACUACUUUAGAAAGUCUGGUAAGUGGUUCAACUAACAACGACUAUAUGUCUGGUUUUGCAUCGACAUGUAAUUUUCACACAUUGCUCUAUUAUCUUCAAAUUAGGUCACACCAACACUAAGCGAAUCUAUUUGCGAUCAUUUGUCCCUGUCAACAUAAGGCCAAUCUCUAGUCGACAAGUAAGAAUUUCAUUUAUUUUUCUUCUUAUGAUAGAUUUUUAAGAUAUAUUGAAAUGAAACAUUGUGACAGGAUCUUCCUACUUUGCUAAGAAUAUGCAGUUUCUUUAAUUUUAUUCUUAAACAAUGAACAGACAUACGUUACCAAGGUACAUACAGGGAAUCGACUUAGCAGCCUCAUCUGCCCAUUUCACAUAGCCUUGCAUAGUGAUCCCCUUGAGUAUGUUCGCAAGGCAAACAAAUCUAUGCUCAGGAAAAAGAGUUCUUUAGAAGUGUUGUUCACACAAGUUGUUGGUGAAUUUUUGGUGAAAUACUUCGGUGUAAAGGUAUAUAUAUCUCAUUCUGCUUUUCUACUUUUACUAUUCAUGUUUCUAAAUACAUUGCAACUUGCCAAUGAAAGCAGAUUGGAGCUUUUAUCUUCCACCGCUUGGGCUCACAUACAACCAUAGCCUUAUCAAAUGUCGUUGGACCAGCUGAACACAUAACAUUAUGUGGGCACCCAAUUGUCUUCAUGGCGACUAGCACCUACGGGCAACCACAAGUAUGUCACCUAUGUUCUUACAUCCAAAAUAUAACCAUCCUUAGAUUUCUUAUACUAGAGACAAUGAAACAUCCUCAUAUCACUGAGUAGUAGCGACUGCACGUACAUUCUAUCAUAACUAAGCUUUUAUAUCAAGAGGUAGCUACUGUUUUCCCCGUAAGCAUUAACUUUCCAAUAAAAAGGUAAAGUCUACCUUCUUUUUAGUGAAUGGAAAAAUCAAAUUUACGUGCAAGGGUGUGCAUUCAGGUUUAGGCUUUACCUAAUUAUGCAUAUUCAUAAUUUCUAAAAACAUUUAUAGAUGUGCAUCAUGUUACAAAAUGAGCACCUUAGGAAUUAUAUUCAAGCCAAAGUGGGAUUGAGUAUGUACUCCAUAAAAAUGCGAAGUGGCUGUUGUCACACUAUUAAAAAACACUUUAAAUAUAUUUAACUCAUUUAGUAUUCAAUUGUCCGGAUUUCUUGUGUAGGCUCUCACCAUGCACUACCUAAAUUACGGUGGUACUAUGAAGGUAAUUAUGGCAGUUGAUGACACACAAUUUCCAGACUGUCAGCAGAUUUUGGAUGAUUUUGCCGAGUCCAUCAGGCUCAUUAAGGAUGCAGCGAUCCUAAGCAAAUUAACAACGUCGACAAAAUGACCGUGUAAUGGCAGUUGAAUAUGAGCACCAUGUUAAUGGCAGUUGAAUGUAUGCCAUUAUCAAAAUCAAUUGCUACUCAUGUACUCGCAAUUUUGUUUUGCGGGUUUACNNNNNNNNNNNNNNNNNNNNNNNNNNNNNNNNNNNNNNNNNGCAUGCGCACGCACGAGCGCGCCUGUGUGUGUCAUGUGUUAAUAUUUUAUGUCAAUCACCAUUGUGUUCAGUCUUUUCCCUGUAGCAUGCAAUUGGUUAUCAUAUUCAGCCAAUCAUGCAUAGACGUUUAAACUAAGAUUUUCUUUUCUUAAGAGAAGUCAAAAGACAGUCCUCCUCGGUCGAGCACCAGAGGGCCGUCGCCAAUAACCUCUGUCGGCCACGCUUUCACUCCGGUUUACCCAACCAAGAUGGCACCUUGUUCACCUAUUGCAUAUACGUCCAACAAUGACUCAACUCGCGAGGUCUUCGUGGAGGGAGCAUGUUCUAGUGCGGUCACCAGCCGCGACAGCCCGAUGACCCAUAGUUCUUGAUAAAUAUGUCAUUAACUCUUGUGGAAUCAGUUGUUCGGCUGUGAAGUGCAAAUGUUUAAAAUAUUUGUAAGCUUCCCCCAGUGAAGAACUAAUAUAUCAAUCCGCCGAGUCUUGGUUUUUGCAGCCAAUGAUCAGUACAUGCAUACAAGUACUAAGAUACUUCACUUAGUGCCCAACACUCGUAGUAAGGGUGUCAACCUUACUAGGCUUUCUAGUGUCAAGUAUUAAUUUAUUUUGUAUUUGGAAUUGAUGAUUGUAAGUAAAUAAUACAAUAGUUCAGAUUGUAAACAAUAAGAAAAAGAGUUGAUGGAGGUUGUAUCAAUGAGGAAUAAUGGACCGGGAUCAAUAACUUUAUUAGUGGAAUCUCUCCAUAAAGCAUAACACAGGUGUCACGGACACGUUACAGUUACAUAUCGAUUAAAUUACGGUUUUUAUUGACCAUACAUGUCAUGGUUUCAUAAAGGAAUUACAUGUGUACAUCUAUGGACAGUUAUCCAAUUGCGUUUAUAGCUAAUUCUCCACUAGAGACAACUAUUCAUCAUGCAUCUCAAAGUAUUAUGUAAAAACAGAGCGUUGCAUUAAGCAAGGAGACAUAAUGUUGACAAUAUAUUGUGUUUACCUCUAGUUUAUCACUGAGACAACUACAAAACUACUUUCUCUGUCCAGAAUUAGUUUUCGCUCAAAUGGAUGUAUUAGUUGUCGCUCAAAUGUAUGUAUCUAGCACCACAUUCAUUUGAUCGAUAACUAAUUUCGGACGAAAGGAGUAUCUUUUUUUACCCUUAGUGGCAAUAACACAAUACAAGCCUUUUGCCAUUUCUUAAACUAAUAUAGACUACUUGCAAGGCUAAACCCAACUAACAUACAUAACCCCCUUCCUUGGAGAUGGUUCAUCUAAACAUGGGCAAUGAAAAGAAUACUGGACCAGCGACCAUAUAUGUCCAUAAAUCAUGGAGAAAAAAGCUCACAUGGAUCCAAAAUAAACAAUAUAUAAAUAUUGUCAUAAAGUGAUAAUUCAACACACCACACCAAACACAUCAUUAAUUAAAUCAGAUGGAUCACAAUCAUGUUAGGAAGCUCAUGUAAUACCUCUAUUGCCCAACAAGGGAGAUAGGUUGCCAUGUGGCUACUGUUAUGGAGCCAUAAUCCAAGGAGUACUACUCACCCAUGGACAUGGUGGUAGCAAGGUCAAUGUAUAUACGAGAAAAGCCCCCCCCCCCAAAUUUGCAUCAUCAAAGAACAAGAGGUGGCAAACAAAUACUUGAUAAUUAAAUUGGGUGUUUUGGGAGUAUAUAAAGGUAUGGGCACCGGUAGAGCAGAGGGGUGCCAUAAGGACCAGGACCUCACAUGGUCCCACCCGACGGCCCACAAGCUGGUCACGUUGGUCUAUUGUGUGGGUGCCCUGGGGACUCUUUCUCUGACCCAUGGCUUUAUCCUGAUGAGAAACUUUCGAAAAUAUUUGUCCAAUGUUUUUCUUCCCGAAAAGCACGGUUUUCGGAAACUAAAAAACAUGAAAAAUGUCAACUAACAAUAUGCACUCGACUAAUAGACUUGUCCAAUAAAAUGAUAUAAAAUCAUGCCAAAACUAUGCCAUAAUGAUCUAAAAGUGGCAUGAACAUAUCAAGAAUCCUAGUUGCAAUUGAAACACAUCAACAUCACCAAUCUUAAUCAAAGCUCCACUUUGAACAAGUACAUGAUAAACACAUAAUGUUUGCCUCCGAAUGCUACCUUAACAUGUACUUGAUUAUGUGAUGCAGUCUGAUAAUGUUUAACUCAAAUGAUUAGCGAUGCAACACAAUUGUUUAUAGUCGAUAGUAAGCAAGUAACAUCAAAACACACUAAUAAACCAGCUCUUGUUUCUUAUGAAUCAAUGCUUUCAAAUUGAAGUUUUACCUCAACAAAAAUAAAAAUAAAACCAAUAUUAUGGAGGGAAGUCAAUAUUACUUGACAACCAAAUCACAAUAUAGUAUUACCGAAUUAUCUAUGUAACACUAGUACAAUAUUUGAGCGUGAGCCUACGCCGUGCUUAUAACUUGUGGGGAAAAGGAAUAACGAUGUUUUUUUUUGAGAAGUCAAAAAGGAAGAUUUUUUGCAUGAAUGCAAUUGAUUAUUAGGCAAUUAAGAGACGCUAUAAUUGAUAUUAAUUCAAGUAUUAGAGAUUACCAUGAAAUAAUUGUACUAGAGAUACUCUCUCCGCCCAAAGUUCUUAUCUUAGAUUUGUCUAGAUAUGAAUGUAUCUAGUCACAUUUUAGUAUUUAGAUACAUCUAUUUUUAGACAACCUAAGAAAAGAAUUUUGGCACGGAGGGAGUAUAUGUGUAUGAAAGCUAUCAUUUGGACCAGUGAGGGUGUGCAUACAACUUGCUUGCUCAUGAGACCUAUUCAUCAUGGAAUAUACAAACCAAAUUCUACAACUUGCUAUUGUGUGGUCACAUCCAAAAUCCUUAUCAGCAAUUGCCAAUAGAAAUAUGUCAAAAUCCAAAUAAUGUUUGCUCACAAUGUACAUACGGGGUCCACCUUAGAAAUGUUUAUUGAUAAAAUUGUAAUAUAUUAGCAAACAAUUGAAUGCAUAAAAGUAUCUUGGCGGCUAUGGUAAUGACAUGGUGAGGAAGAGUACCUAAUAACCUUGUGCAUGGUAAAUUUUGGCCAGUAUAUGUUUUCACAUAUUUCUGUGUGUACCUAAAGGCACACUAAAGUUAAAGAGCCAAUUGAAUAAAUAAACAAGAACAAAUAUAGCAAGACAUAGUGAAUCUUGCCACGCACCGGCGGCUCCUGCAGGGGCCUCGGACAAGAAGCGGACGUAGCCAUCCCCGGCGAUGUAGACUAACUUGUUCUCUUUCGGCGAUUGCCAUCAGUACACGCAUCAGCGCUUGGCUGCUUGCUGCACCGAUGCAGCCAUGUUCUCUGUCCUCGGAUGGUCCAAUGGGAGAUCGAUUAGGGUUAUGGCGGGUUUGUCCAGACCCAGACGUCGCGUCCCGGUGACUAGUCUAGACUCUGCAGACAUGGACGCCCGUCGCACUUGAUGCCAUCCAUGUCUGUCGCGGCACGCCGCGUGGCACUGCCCAUGCCGGUCAGUGCACGCCCGUCGCGGCAGCGCUGCAGGAAUCCACAGUCUGGCGCUUCGAGUCUACAUGCCGAUCCCGGAAUAUAGGGAGCUCGCCAUUGGACAGAAGUAGGAAGGAUAAGAUUGCCUGCUUGCAUGGUAGGUUAGUGGUGCCUUUCCGUUUACAGGCCGAGGUACGGCCGGCUGCUCCACGGCCAAAUGCCCCUGAUUGCGCCACUUGCUUGCCGCCGGGGUGACCCGCGACUAGUACACUGACAUGGAUGCCCGGCGCACGAGGUGUACGCAUAUGUGUGGCGGCAGGCGGGGUGUCACUCUCCGUCCCGGUUGGUAGACGCCCGUCGCGGCCGCUGUGACAGUGCUGCAGCCUGCAGGGCUCGUCGGCGAGUUAGGACCGUGAUGGACGUAGUCGUUCAGGCCAGGGAUCCACGUCCACAGUACUCUCGGUACUUCGAGUGUACUUGGUGAACUGGCGAUUGCCUUUUUUGUUGAGCUUCAAGGCGAUCGCCAUUAGCGCUAGUACUGCAGUAUCUGGAACUGGGGGUACGUGCAUCCAUCCAAUCCUUUUUCUUCCGGGUAACUUGAAGAGCUUUAUUUCAUAUGAAAGUCAACCCAGGACAGUCCGCCAAGAGACCGGAGGAAGCUAGGAGUUACAUCGAGCCAGCUUUCGGUCACAUUUAAAGUGCAAGCAUGUUUUGCACAAAGAUGAGUCGGGAUGUUAGCUGACCUACUAACAUGAAUUAAACUAAAUGAAAAGAAAAUGUUACUGAGCUCUCCUAUUUCUAGAAAGGAUAGGAGCCACAAUUGAGCAAGAAUUGUAGCGAGUGUUCCAGAUUUUAACCAACUCUAGGCAAUCCACUUUCAUCAACACAUGAGAGAAACCCCUAAGAGCAGCGAAACGGACACCACCCCGCAGUGCGAAGGCUUCAGUGAUCAAGGGAUCCGAGACCCCCAAAUAAGGUUUGCACCAAGAUCCUAGCAGGCUUGUCGAUGAACGGGCGACGCCUCCUGCACCGCCCCUUGCUUUUGCGAAACUAAGCGCACCAUCUGUGUUAAUCUUCACAAACCCCUCAUCAGGUGGCCGCCAACCAAAACCUCGCAGAAUAGCGGCAGCUUCCCGAGGGAGGUUCAGCAAAGCAAUCGCCUCCCUAGUGGAUCGCAUGGUUGACACCGGAUCCCGGGCAUCCUCCCCGUGCUUAACACGGUUCCGGGAGUGCCAGAUUGACCACAUAAUGGUUGUGAUCUUCGCACGCUCAUCGUCAGUGAACCGAGGAUCACAAGUAAUGUCCCUUGCCCAAGAACUCUGAUGGAGGUUGGUAGCCUGCACCUCAGAAUCUGCAAUGUGUCGAUGCUUCAUUGUACUUUCAGCAGGUAGAAUGCCCCGAAGCACUCUCCACCAAAAAACCCUGACUUUCGGAAUGACUUUUAGUUUCCAUAAGGCCUUCCAUAACUAUUGAUCGUUUUAUGAGGUUCCGGUAGCCGCCCUUCCUCUUGAGCACGCAGCUCUUCCUGAGUCACUAGAGCACGGUACGCCAUCUUGACAAUAUAGUUGCCUGAUUUAUCAAAAGCCCAAGCAAGGAAAUCCUCCCCUCCACCCUGCCGAAUUGGAAUGUUCAGUAUAGCAGCAGUGUUAGAAGGAGAAAAAAUGUCCCUAACAACAUCCUGUCGCCAUGACCAAGUAUCAAUAUCAAUCAGUUCAGAGACUUUCUCAAUACUUGUCAUCGAUGGCUGCACUUGUGGGAUAAUUGAAAUGGUUCCUGGAAUCCAUUUAUCCGUCCACACACAGAUUGAUGUGCCGUCGCCCAUUCGUGAGAUCAGGCCCAAACUGAGAGCUUCCCUUCCCGCUAUGAUCGCCUUCCAAGUGGGCGAUGCCGAUUUUGGGACUGUAGCUUGCAUGAAGUCUGAAUCCGGGAAGUAGCGCCCUUUUAAAACUCUUGUGCAUAGGGAGUUCGCGUUGGUGAUAAGACACCAUCUGUGUUUCCCUAACAUUGCAAGGUUGAAUUGGUGUGGGUCUCGGAAGCCCAUGCCACCAUUGCACUUGGGUGUAGAUAAUUCCUUCCAAGACACCCAGUUCAUGGAUUUUUUAUCAAGAGAAUUGCUCCAAAAGUACCGAGCCAUAGGAGAAGUCAGGCUCUUGCAAACCUUUUUUUGAAAAUAGAAAAGUGCUCAUCAGAUAGGUCGGCAUUGCUUGGAUGACUGAUUUCAGAAGUGUUUCCCGUCCAGUACAUGCUAACACCUUCUCCGACCAACCUUGAAUUUUUGCACGAGAUCGAUCCCCAAUAUAUUGAAAGGUACCGCUCGUAAUUCGUCUCACGACUGUCGGCAGUCCAAGAUAUCUUUUAUUGAACGCCUCCACCUGGAUAUUUAGUGUUGCUUUCUUGUUUUGCUUCACAGAGUCAGGAGCGUUAGAGCUAAAGUAAAUGGAACUUUUAUCAUGGUUAAUGUGCUGACCUGAAGCAUCCCCAUAAAUCCGCAAGGUUUCAUUGAGUCUGAGAGCACUCUGGUUUUGUGCGUUGAUGAAGAUGAUGCUAUCAUUAGCGAACAAAAGAUGGGAUACCCGAGGAGCUCUGUAGCUGACUUGCAAGCCUCUGUCGAUUGUUCCCCCAUUGUAAAACUUCAAAAUCAAGGAGAAACCUUCUGCACCGAGCAAGAACAAAAAAGGUGACACUAGUAGAAAACAGGGCUACCGUUCAGCCCUGGCCAGCCCAUUAGUCCCGGUUCUUCAAGAACCGGGACCAAUGGGGGGUAUUAGACCCGGUUCGUGAGCCCAGGGGGCCGGCCGGGGCCUCGUGGGCAUUGGUCCCGGUUCGUGUGGAACCAUUUGUCCCGGUUCGAGCCACGAACCGAGACCAAUGGUCCUCGCUGCUGGCCCACAACCUUUAGUACCGGUUCAUGCCACGAACCGAGACAAAUAACUUGCCUACAUAUAUACCCACCGCCGCGGCAGAGCACUCCACAAUGCUCUGUUUUUGUCGAGCCGGCGAGGGGAGGGCAUUUGGGUGCUCUAGUUCACCUCCUAUGCACAUGAGGUGUUCGAUGAAAUGCCCGAGCCACACUAGUUAAGCUUUCUCCUACCGAAACUCGACCUCCGAGCUCCAUUUUCAACGAGACUUGUCUAGAUUUAGCGGUCCGUCACGCCCCGUCCCCGCCCCGUCUUCACCGCCGUCGAUCGCCCGCGCCGAUCUCGUCGCCGGCACCACCGUGGUGAGCCUCUUGUUCUUAUCUUCUUUCUGAAAGAAAAAAAAUUCUGACUUCAGAUAGAUACUUGUCUAAUUUUCUUACUUUUAUUAUUCCUUCUUAUUAUAUAGUGCGAUGGUUGUGGUAUCCGCCCCCGUCGGCCCUCGUCCUGUCUAUGAUUCAGAUGUGGUAUAUAUUAUCUUUUCAUAACUAUUUGGUUCAUUUAUUGUUUAUGACAAUUAUGAUGACCAACGUGACAUAUAUUUUUAAUCUAGGAGGUAUGUGAACCGGAAAUUCCAACCCACCUACAAAUGCUUCUCGAGAAGUUAACUUUGGUUGAAAAAGAAAACAAAUUGUUGAAGGAAAAAUUGAAAAUAAUUGAGGAUAAGAAUAUGAAAAUGGAGUUGCAUGUUGCCGAGGUCAUUGACGAUCGCAAGAUGAAGAUCUAUGCGAUGCGGUUGAAGAUGGAUGAAAUGCGCUUGAAGAUUAGGAAUAUUAGAAAAUAUGCCAUUGAUAAAGAGGCUUGGUAUCAUUAUGCUGUUGGGUCAAUUGUUACCUUACUUGCGACUUUGAUCGCGUUUGUUGUUGCAUUUAAAUGUUUUACAUAGUUGUAUGUUGUUUUAUGAGAGAACUUUAUGUAUUUAUUUUUCAAUAAUAACAUUUGAUCACUAUUGUGCUUUGGUUUUAAUGUGAUGAUGACUUUGUAUUAAUUUGGUCAUUUCUCUAUUCAUUUUGUUCUGCAAUGAUUUUUUGAUAUAUACUUAAUUUCAUAAUAGAGAUGAACAGCCAAUGGAUGUACGGUGACCGACGCACUUUGGAGUACAUUACGAACCGGGACUAAUGCCCGAGUCGAAAAGGGUUGUAAAUGGAUGAUGUGGCUUUGAAUGAUGCAUUUUGAACACAGAAAAACUAUGGAGUUCAAAUAAGUUCUAAAAAAAAUGAAAUCCCUUUGUAACAAACGAGUUUCCGUAUGAAACCCUCAUACUUCGAAAGAGAUUGUCCGUUUUGUACACGAAGUGCAUCCAGUUUUUUCCGUAACCCUCUCAACUUUCUCGCACAUGCUAUGUGUGUGAAAUGAUGAUACCAUGCCAACUUGGAGCCUUUUCAGAGUUCAUUUCAAAUGCUUUUCAAUUUCAUGGUCUUAUAGCUCAUAAUAAUCAGUAAAUGCAUGAAAAAUAACAAAUGAAGUCAGAAAGGGUUGUAAAUUGAUGAUGUGGCUUUGAAUGGCGCAUUUUGAACACAGAAAAACUAUGGAGUUCAAAUAAGUUAAAAAAAAUGAAAUACCUUUUGUAACAGACGAGUUUCCGUAUGAAACCCUGAUACUUCGAAAGAGAUUGUCCGUUUUGUACAUGAAGUGCAUCCAGUUUUUGCCAUAACCCUCUCAACUUUCUCGCACAUGCUAUGUGGGUGAAAUGAUGAUACCAUGCCAACUUGGAACCUUUUCAGAGUUCAUUUGAAAUGCUUUUCAAUUUCAUGGUCUUAUAGCUCAAAAUAAUCAGUAAAUGCAUGAAAAAUAACAAAUGAAGUCAGAAAGGGUUGUAAAUUAAUGAUGUGGCUUUGAAUGGUGCAUUUUGAACACAGAAAAACUAUGGAGUUCAAAUAAGUUCAAAAAAAUGAAAUCCCUUUGUAACACACGAGUUUCCGUAUGAAACCCUGAUACUUCGAAAGAGAUUGUCCGUUUUGUACACGAAGUGCAUCCAGUUUUUGCCGUAACCCUCUCAACUUUCUCGCACAUGCUAUGUGGGUGAAAUGAUGAUACCAUGCCAACUUGGAACCUUUUCAGAGUUCAUUUCAAAUGUUUUUCAAUUUCAUGGUCUUAUAGCUCAAAAUAAUCAGUAAAUGCAUGAAAAAUAACAAAUGAAGUUAGAAAGCGUUGUAAAUUGAUGAUGUGGCUUUGAAUGAUGCAUUUUGAACACAAAAAAACUAUGAAGUUCAAAUAAGUUCAAAAAAAUAAGUUCAAAUAAGUUCCUGAUAUCAAGUAAUUAUUUUCUUUGUCUGACAGGGUUUGGAAAAAUUCACCGCAAAAACUCCGGGACUGCCGAAGAAGCUGCAAUUUAGACACCCGAAAGUAAGUAUUAUAGUAGCAUGUUCCACGCAUCUGCUAGUGAUUCAAGCACUAGUUUCAUCAAUACCAUUUAGCAUGCUUGCUAACUAUCAGUUUGAUUGACCUCUAUUUCUUGUAAAGUGUUUGUGGCAGGAACCAGGGAAUGAUUACUGUGGAUACUACAUUUGCGAGUCCAUCCGCCACGUGACCUGUGAGCGGGGCUACUCUUACAAACAAUAUGGCGUGCGUAAAUAAUAAUAUUCACAAUUUUAUUUUAUUACCAUCAUUUGUGUUCAGUUUCAUUUAUUCAUAUAUAUGUGUUGAUCCCCUUCUUCAAAUUAGAUAUAUCGGAUGCGGAAUGAACUCCUACCAGCAGAUCGUAUGCGAGGAAUUCAAGAGGAAUUGGCGGCAUUCUUUCUUGACCACGUGAUCGCUAAAGACGGAGAAUACCAUGUGAACCCUAAUGAGUUGAAUUUUAAUUAGGAGAUUAUAUUGUAAGAGAUAAUUAUAUUGUAUAUAUGUAGCCAGUAGCGUCGGAUAGAUAUACGAGAACUUGUUGUUUGACCAAUCUCUCUGAGAAGGAGAGGUGGUCGAUAUCACUUCUCUUUGUAUGCAUAUGUUCAUGAUGAUCUUCUGUUUCCUUCAUUUGCUUACUAGCUAGCGUGUCUAGUCCUCUCUAUACGUAUAGUAUGCAGCAUUGACCAAGCACGGAGAUAAGAGAGGACACUUCUCUCUAUUCAUUAGCUAGCUAACACAAUAUAUGAAACACCUAAAUUAACCCCCCAAAACCCCCUAACCCCCCCCCUUCAAAAAAAACCCAUCACCUGAAAUGCUGACGAGUGGAUGCCUUUUGGUCCCGGUUGGUGUCACCAACCGGGACUAAAGGCCCCCCUGCCCGGGCUCGCCGCACCGGCCACGUGGAGGCCCAUCUGUCUCGGUUUGUGUAAGAACCAGGACUAAAGGCCAAGGGCAUUAGUAACGACCUUUUAGUCCCGGUUUCGAAACCGGAACAGAAGGCCCUUACGAACCGGGACAAAAGGCCCUUUUUCUACUAGUGUGAAACUGGAUCACCUUGACGGAACCCCUGGAAGGGGUAAAGAGAGGCAACAACUCUCCGUUCACUCGGACAGAGAAUCUGAUAGAGGAGAUACAUUUCGAAAUCAGCAUAAUAAAGACAAAGCUCAAACCCAGUUUUGAUAGGAUUGCCUCAAGAUAGUGCCACUCGACGCGAUCAUAGGCUUUCAUCAUGUCCAGCUUGACCGCACAAGAAUAAUUCUUCCCUUUUUUCCUUCUCUUCAUAGUGUGCAUACUUUCAUAUGCAACAAGAACGUUAUCAAUUAUGAGUCGGCCAGGGAUAAACACACUUUGUUCUUCACUAAUAAUCUCAUCCAUGAAUGGUCUCAUGCGGUUGGUAAUAGCUUUAGCAGCUAUCUUGUAGAGAACAGAGCAUAGUGGGAUAGGCCGGUACUGAGCUAUGGACUAGGAAUGACUAACUUUGUGAUGAGUGUGAUCGAAGUGUCGUUCAAACCCAUAGGUAGUUCCCCUCCAUUGAGAAAUUCCAAGAUUGCAUUGGUCACUUCUUUGCCUAAAAGCAACUAGUGGCGUUGAUAGAAACCAGCAGUAUAACCAUCGAUGCCGGGAGCCUUUGAGGGCGCCAUCUGAAACAACGCAUCCUUAACUUCUGAAUCAGUGUAGGGCUUGGUGAGCAUAAACUUCAUAAUUGGUGUAACUUUCACCGGAACAUGGUCGAGUAAGAUGCUGGCAUCCACAAAGACCUCUUACAGGUAGAGGUGUUCAUAGAAAUUCUGCACCUCAGCCUUGUCCUCAUUGUCAUCUGCACAAAACGACCUGUCAGCUCUCUGGAGUCUUCGAAUUUUAUUAACACGUUUGCGCUGUCGGGCUUGUGCAUGGAAGUAGGAGGUAUUGCGAUCUCCUUCCCGAAGCCACGGCACUCGAGAACGUUGCCGGAACCAUAUCUCUUCCUGGUAAAGUGCUUCCUUCAGCUUUUGUACUGUAUGUUUUUCCUCAUCAGAAGGACCGCACCCAACCGAUUGAGAGCGGAGAAGAUCAAGCUUCUUCUGAAGAUUUCUAACUAAUCUCGAGAGACUUCCAAACUCCUUCGAACUCCAAGGUUCUACUGUUGGGUAACGUCGCAUGGGAAACAAAAAUUUUCCUACGCGCACGAAGACCUAUCAUGGUGAUGUCCAUCUACGAGAGGGGAUGAGUGAUCUACGUACCCUUGUAGAUCGUACAGCAGAAGCGUUAGUGAACGCGGUUGAUGUAGUGGAACGUCCUCACGUCCCUCGAUCCGCCCCGCGAACAAUCCCACGAUCAGUCCCACGAUCUAGUGCCGAACGGACGGCACCUCCACGUUCAGCACACGUACAGCUCGACGAUGAUCUCGGCCUUCUUGAUCCAGCAAGAGAGACGGAGAGGUAGAAGAGUUCUCCGACAGCGUGACGGCGCUCCGGAGGUUGGUGAUGACCUUGUCUCAGCAGGGCUCCGCCCGAGCUCCGCAGAAACGCGAUCUAGAGGAAAAACCGUGGAGGUAUGUGGUCGGGCUGCCGUGGAAAAGUCGUCUCAAAUCAGCCCUAAAACCUCCGUAUAUAUAGGUGGGAGGGAGGGGACCUUGCCUUGGGGCUCAAGGAGCCCCAAGGGGGUCGGCCGAGCCAAGGGGGGAAGGCUCCCCCCCCAAACCGAGUUGGACUUGGUUUGGUGGGUGGGAGUCCUUCCUUCCCUUCCCACCUCCUUUUUUUUCUUUUCUCUUUGAUUUUCUUUCCUAGGCGCAUAGGGCCCUUUUGGGCUGUCCCACCAGCCCACUAAGGGCUGGUGUGCCACCCUCAAGGCCUAUGGGCUUCCCCGGGGUGGGUUGCCCCCCCCGGUGAACUCCCGGAACCCAUUCGUCAUUCCCAGUACAUUCCCGGUAACUCCGAAAACCUUCCGGUAAUCAAAUGAGGUCAUCCUAUAUAUCAAUCUUCGUUUUCGGACUAUUCCGGAAACCCUCGUGACGUCCGUGAUCUCAUCCGGGACUCCGAACAACAUUCGGUAACCAACCAUAUAACUCAAAUACGCAUAAAACAACGUCGAACCUUAAGUGUGCAGACCCUGCGGGUUCGAGAACUAUGUAGACAUGACCCGAGAGACUCCUCGGUCAAUAUCCAAUAGCGGGACCUGGAUGCCCAUAUUGGAUCCUACAUAUUCUACGAAGAUCUUAUCGUUUGAACCUCAGUACCAAGGAUUCAUUUAAUCCCGUAUGUCAUUCCCUUUGUCCUUCGGUAUGUUACUUGCCCGAGAUUCGAUCGUUAGUAUCCGCAUACCUAUUUCAAUCUCGUUUACCGGCAAGUCUCUUUACUCGUUCCGUAAUACAAGAUCCCGUAACUUACACUAAGCUACAUUGCUUGCAAGGCUUGUGUGUGAUGUUAUAUUACUGAGUGGGUCCCGAGAUACCUCUCCGUCACACGGAGUGACAAAUCCCAGUCUUGAUCCAUACUAACUCAACUAACACCUUCGGAGAUACCUGUAGAGCAUCUUUAUGGUUAGUGAGUUAUAUGAUCUCAUGGUCAUAGGAAUAAAUACUUGACACGCAGAAAACAGUAGCAACAAAAUGACACAAUCAACAUGCUACGUCUAUUAGUUUGGGUCUAGUCCAUCACGUGAUUCUCCUAAUGACGUGAUCCAGUUAUCAAGCAACAACACCUUGUUCAUAAUUAGAAGACACUGACUAUCUUUGAUCAACUGGCUAGCCAACUAGAGGCUUGCUAGGGAUGGUGUUUUGUCUAUGUAUCCACACAUGUAAAUGAGUCUUCAUUCAAUACAAUUAUAGCAUGGAUAAUAAACGAUUAUCUUGAUACAGGAAUUAUAAUAAUAACUAUAUUUAUUAUUUCCUCUAGGGCAUAAUUCCAACAGUCUUCCACUUGCACUAGAGUCAAUAAUCUAGCCCUCACAUCAUCAUGCGAAUUACAUUGUAAUAAAUCUAACACCCAUACAGUUCUGGUGUUCAUCAUGCUUUGGCCGUGGAAGAGGUUUAGUCAGCGGGUCUGCUACAUUCAGAUCCGUGUGCACUUUGCAUAUAUUUACGUCCUCUCCCUCGAUGUAGUCGCGGAUGAGGUUGAAGCGUCGUUUGAUGUGUCUGGUCUUCUUGUGAAACCGUGGUUCCUUUGCUAAGGCAAUGGCACCCGUGUUGUCACAGAACAAGGUUAUUGGAUUCAGUGGGCUUGGCACCACUCCAAGAUCCGUCAUGAAGUGCUUCAUCCAGACACCCUCCUUAGCCGCCUCCGAGGCAGCCAUGUACUCCGCUUCACAUGUAGAAUCUGCUACGACGCUUUGCUUGGAACUGCACCACCUUACCGCACCCCCAUUAAGAAUAAAUACGUAUCCGGUUUGCGACUUAGAGUCGUCCGGAUCUGUGUCAAAGCUUGCAUCGACGUAACCUUUUACAGCGAGCUCUUCGUCACCUCCAUACACAAGAAACAUCUCCUUAGUCCUUUUCAGGUACUUCAGGAUAUUCUUGACCGCUGUCCAGUGAUCCACUCCUGGAUUACUCUGGAACCUACCUGCCAUACUUAUGGCCAGGCUAACAUCCGGUCUAGUGCACAACAUUGCAUACAUGAUAGAACCUAUGGCUGAAGCAUAGGGGAUGGAGCGCAUAUGCUCUCUAUCUUCAUCAGUUGCUGGGCACUGAGUCUUACUCAAUCUCGUACCUUGUAAAACUGGCAAGAACCCUUUCUUGGACUGUUCCAUUUUGAACCUCUUCAAAACUUUAUCAAGGUAUGUGCUUUGUGAAAGUCCUAUCAGGCGUUUUGAUCUAUCCCUAUAGAUCUUAAUGCCUAGAAUGUAAGCAGCUUCUCCUAGGUCCUUCAUAGAGAAACUUUUAUUCAAGUAAUCCUUUAUGCUCUCCAAAAACUCUACGUUGUUUCCAAUCAGCAAUAUGUCAUCCACAUAUAAUAUUAGAAACGCCACAGAGCUCCCACUCACUUUCUUGUAAAUACAAGAUUCUCCAACCACUUAUAUAAACCCAAAUACUUUGAUCACCUCAUCAAAGCGCUUGUUCCAACUCCGAGAUGCUUGCACCAGUCCAUAAAUGGAUCGCUGGAGCUUGCACACCUUGUUAGCAUUCUUAGGAUCGAUAAAACCUUCGGGUUGCAUCAUAUACAAUUCUUCCUUAAGGAAACCGUUAAGGAACGCCGUUUUGACAUCCAUCUGCCAGAUUUCAUAAUCGAAAAAUGCAGCUAUUGCUAACAUGAUUCUGACGGACUUAAGCAUCGCUACGGGUGAGAAUGUCUCAUCGUAGUCAGCUCCUUGAACUUGCGAAAAACCCUUUGCCACAAGUCGAGCUUUAUAAACGGUCACAUUGCCGUCAGCGUCCGUCUUCCUCUUCAAGAUCCAUUUGUUCUGAAUAGCCUUGCGGCCCUCAGGCAGUACCUCCAAAGUCCACACUUUUUUCUCAUACAUGGAUCCUAUCUCGGACUUCAUGGCUUCUAGCCAUUUGUUGGAAUCCGGGCCCACCAUUGCUUCUUCAUAAUUUGCAGGUUCAUUGUUGUCCAACAACAUGAUUGACAAGACGGGAUUACCGUACCACUCUGGAGCAGCACGUGGUCUCGUCGACCUGCGUGGUUCAACAGAAACUUGAACCGGAGUUUCAUGAUCAUCAUCAUUAACUUCCUCCUCAACUGGCGUCGCAACGACAGAGGUUUCCCCUUGUCCUGCGCCACCAUCCAGAGGGAUGAGAGGUUCGACAACCUCGUCAAGUUCUAUCUUCCUCCCACUCAAUUCUCUCGAGAGAAACUCCUUCUCGAGAAAAGCUCCGUUUUUAGCAACAAACACUUUGCCAUCGGAUUUGAGAUAGAAGGUGUACCCAACUGUCUCUUUUGGGUAACCUAUGAAGACGCACUUUUCCGCUUUGGGUUCCAACUUUUCAGGCUGAAGCUUUUUGACAUAAGCAUCACAUCCCCAAACUUUAAGAAACGACAACUUUGGCCUUUUGCCAUACCACAGUUCGUAUGGUGUCGUCUCAAUGGAUUUUGAUGGUGCCCUAUUUAAAGUGAAUGCAUGUUUCUAAUGCAUAACCCCAAAACGAUAAUGGCAAAUCGGUAAGAGACAUCAUAGAUCGUACCAUCUCUAAUAAAGUACGAUUACGACGUUCGAACACACCAUUACACUGUGGUGUUCCAGGCGGUGUUAACUGUGAAACAAUUCCACAUUGUCUUAAGUGAGCACCAAACUCGAAACUCAGAUAUUCACCCCCACGAUCAGACCGUAGGAAUUUGAUCUUCUUGUUACGAUGAUUUUCAACUUCACUCUGAAAUUGCUUGAACUUUUCAAACGUUUCAGACUUGUGCUUCAUCAAGUAGACAUAACCAUAUCUACUCAAAUCGUCAGUGAAGGUGAGAAAAUAACGAUAUCGCCGCGUGCCUCCACGCUCAUCGGACCACACACAACGGUAUGUAUGAUUUCCAACAAGUCACUUGCACGCUCCAUUGUUCCGGAGAACGGAGUCUUAGUCAUCUUGCCCAUGAGGCAUGGUUCGCACGUGGCAAGUGAAUCAAAGUCAAGUGACUCCAAAAGUCCAUCAGCAUGGAGUUUCUUCAUGUGCUUUACACCAAUAUGACCUAAGCGACAGUGCCACAAAAAUAUGGCGCUAUCAUUGUUAACUCUAACUCUUUUGGUCUCAAUGUUAUGUAUGUGUGUAUUGCUAUCAAGAUUCAAUAUGAACAAUCCUCUCACAUUGGGUGCAUGACCAUAAAAGAUGUUACUCAUAGAAAUAGAACAACCAUUAUUCUCUGACUUAAAAGAGUAACCGUCUCGCAAUAAACAAGAUCCAGAUAUAAUGUUCAUGCUCAACGCAGGCACUAAAUAACAAUGUUUUAAGUUCAUCACUAAUCCUGAUGGUAACUGAAGUGAAAUUGUGCCGACGGCGAUUGCAUCAACCUUGGAACCAUUUCCUACGCGCAUCGUCACUUCAUCUUUCGCCAGCCUUCGCCUAUUCCGCAGUUCCUGUUUCGAGUUGCAAAUAUGAGCAACAGAACCGGUAUCGAAUACCCAGGCACUACUAUGAGAGCCGGUUAAGUACACAUCAAUAACUUGUAUAUCAAAUAUACCUGAUUUUUCAUUGGCCGCCUUCUUAUCUGCCAGAUACUUGGGGCAAUUGCGCUUCCAGUGACCCAUACCCUUGCAAUAGUAACACUCCGUUUCAGGCUUAGGUCCAGCUUUGGGUUUCUUCGUCGGAUUGGCAACAGGCUUGCCGCUCUUCUUUGAAUUACCCUUCUUGCCUUUGCCGUUUCUCUUGAAACUAGUGGUCUUAUUCACCAUCAACACUUGAUGCUCUUUACGGAGUUCAGACUCUACGACUUUCUGCAUCGCAAACAACUCGUCAGGAGACUUGUUCAUCCCUUGCAUGUUGUAGUUCAACACAAAGCCUUUAUAGCUUGGCGGCAGUGAUUGAAGGAUUCUGUCAGUGAUAGCCUCUUGCAGGAGUUCAAUCCCCAGCUCAGCUAGACGGUUUGAGUACCCAGACAUUUUGAGCACAUGUUCACUGACAGACGAGUUUUCCUCCAUCUUGCAAGCAUAUAAUUUAUCGGAGGUCUCAUACCUCUCGAUCCAGGCAUUCUUCUGAAAUAUAAACUUCAACUCCUGGAACAUCUCAAAUGCUCCAUGACGCUCAAAGCGACGUUGAAGUCCCGGUUCUAANUCUUUACGGAGUUCAGACUCUACGACUUUCUGCAUCGCAAACAACUCGUCAGGAGACUUGUUCAUCCCUUGCAUGUUGUAGUUCAACACAAAGCCUUUAUAGCUUGGCGGCAGUGAUUGAAGGAUUCUGUCAGUGAUAGCCUCUUGCAGGAGUUCAAUCCCCAGCUCAGCUAGACGGUUUGAGUACCCAGACAUUUUGAGCACAUGUUCACUGACAGACGAGUUAUCCUCCAUCUUGCAAGCAUACAAUUUAUCGCAGGUCUCAUCCCUCUCGAUCCCGGCCUUCUUCUGAAACAUAAACUUCAACUCCUGGAACAUCUCAAAUGCUCCAUGACGCUCAAAGCGACGUUGAAGUCCCGGUUCUAAGCCAUACAAGACUGCACAUUGAACUACUGAGUAGUCCUCCUUGCGUGCUAACCAAGCGUUCUUAACAUCCUGAUCAGCCGUAGCGGGUGGUUCAUCUCCUAGCGCAGCAUUAAGGACAUAAUCCUUCUUCCCAGCUUGUAAGAUUAGCUUAAGAUUACGAGCCCAGUCUACAAAGUUGCUUCCAUCAUCUUUCAACUUAGCUUUCUCUAGGAACGUAUUAAAAUUCAGGGUGACUGUCGCGUGAGCCAUGAUCUAAAACACAAAUAUAUUCAAAGUGGACUUAGACUAUGUUCAAGAUAAUUAGAGUUUAACUUUAAUCAAAAUUAUACGCUAAACUCCCACUCAAAAAGUACAUCUCUCUUAGUCAUUUGAGUGGUUCAUGAUCCACUUACACUAGCUCAAGUCCGAUCAUCACGUGAGUUGAGUAUAGUUUCAGUAGUAAGCAUCCCUAUGCUAAUCAUAUCAUCUAUACGACUCAUGAUCGACCUUUCGGUCUCAUGUGUUCCGAGGCCAUGUCUGCACAUGCUAGGCUCGUCAAGCUUAACCCGAGUGUUCCGCGUGCGCAACUGUUUUGCACCCGUUGUAUGUGAACGUUGAGUCUAUCACACCCGAUCAUCACGUGGUGUCUCGAAACGACGAACUGUAGCAACGGUGCACAGUCGGGGAGAACACAAUUUCGUCUUGAAAUUUUAGUGAGAGAUCACCUCAUAAUGCUACCGUCGUUCUAAGCAAAAUAAGGUGCAUAAAAGGAUUAACAUCACAUGCAAUUCAUAAGUGACAUGAUAUGGCCAUCAUCACGUGCUUCUUGAUCUCCAUCACCAAAGCACCAGCACGAUCUUCUUGUCACCGGCGCCACGCCAUGAUCUCCAUCAACGUGUUGCCAUCGAGGUUGUCGUGCUACUCAUGCUAUUACUACUAAAGCUACAUCCUAGCAAAAUAGUAAACGCAUCUGCAAGCACAAACAUUAGUAUAAACACAACCCUAUGGCUCCUGCCGGUUGCCGUACCAUCGACGUGCAAGUCGAUAUUAUCUAUUACAACAUGAUCAUCUCAUACAUCCAAUAUAUCACAUCACAUCGUUGGCCAUAUCACAUCACAAGCAUACCCUGCAAAAACAAGUUAGACGUCCUCUAAUUUUGUUGUUGCAUGUUUUAUGUGAUGACCACGGGUAUCUAGUAGGAUCGCAUCUUACUUACGCAAACACCACAACGGAGAUAUAUGAGUUGCUAUUUAACCUCAUCCAAGGACCUCCUCGGUCAAAUCCGAUUCAACUAAAUUUGGAGAAACUGACACUUGCCAGUCAUCUUAGAGCAACGGGGUUACUCGUAGCGAUGAAACCAGUCUCUCGUAAGCGUACGAGUAAUGUCGGUCCAAGCCGCUUCAAUCCAACAAUACCGCGAAAUCAAGAAAAGACUAAGGAGGGCAGCAAAACGCACAUCACCGCCCACAAAAACUUUUGUGUUCUACUCGAGAAGACAUCUACGCAUGAACCUAGCUCUGAUACCACUGUUGGGUAACGUCGCAUGGGAAACAAAAAAUUUCCUACGCGCACGAAGACCUAUCAUGGUGAUGUCCAUCUACGAGAGGGGAUGAGUGAUCUACGUACCCUUGUAGAUCGUACAGCAGAAGCGUUAGUGAACACGGUUGAUGUAGUGGAACGUCCUCACGUCCCUCGAUCCGCCCCGCGAACAAUCCCGAGAUCAGUCCCACGAUCUAGUGCCGAACGGACGGCACCUCCGCGUUCAGCACACGUACAGCUCGACGAUGAUCUCGGCCUUCUUGAUCCAGCAAGAGAGACGGAGAGGUAGAAGAGUUCUCCGGCAGCGUGACGGCGCUCCGGGGGUUGGUGAUGACCUUGUCUCAGCAGGGCUCCGCCCGAGCUCCGCAAAAACGCGAUCUAGAGGAAAAACCGUGGAGGUAUGUGGUCGGGCUGCCGUGGAAAAGUCGUCUCAAAUCAGCCCUAAAACCUCCGUAUAUAUAGGUGGGAGGGAGGGGACCUUGCCUUGGGGCUCAAGGAGCCCCAAGGGGGUCGGCCGAGCCAAGGGGGGAAGGCUCCCCCCCCCAAACCGAGUUGGACUUGGUUUGGUGGGUGGGAGUCCUUCCUUCCCUUCCCACCUCCUUUUUUUUCUUUUCUCUUUGAUUUUCUUUCCUAGGCGCAUAGGGCCCUUUUGGGCUGUCCCACCAGCCCACUAAGGGCUGGUGCGCCACCCUCAAGGCCUAUGGGCUUCCCCGGGGUGGGUUGCCCCCCCCGGUGAACUCCCGGAACCCAUUCGUCAUUCCCAGUACAUUCCCGGUAACUCCGAAAACCUUCCGGUAAUCAAAUGAGGUCAUCCUAUAUNNNNNNNNNNNNNNNNNNNNNNNNNNNNNNNNNNNNNNNNNNNNNNNNNNNNNNNNNNNNNNNNNNNNNNNNNNNNNNNNNNNNNNNNNNNNNNNNNNNNUUGAAUUACCCUUCUUGCCUUUGCCGUUUCUCUUGAAACUAGUGGUCUUAUUCACCAUCAACACUUGAUGUUCUUUACGGAGUUCAGACUCUGCGACUUUCAGCAUCGCAAACAACUCGCCGGGUGACUUGUUCAUCCCUUGCAUGUUGUAGUUCAACACAAAGCCUUUAUAGCUUGGCGGCAGUGAUUGAAGGAUUUUGUCAGUGAUAGCCUCUUGCGGGUGUUCAAUCCCCAGCUCAGCUAGACGGUUUGAGUACCCAGACAUUUUGAGCACAUGUUCACUGACAGACGAGUUCUCCUCCAUCUUGCAAGCAUAGAAUUUAUCGAAGGUCUCAUGCCUCUCGAUCCGGGCGUUCUUCUGAAAGAUAAACUUCAACUCCUGGAACAUCUCAAAUGCUCCAUGACGCUCNAAGACUGCACAUUGAACUACUGAGUAGUCCUCCUUACGUGCUAACCAAGCGUUCUUAACAUCCUGAUUAGCCGUAGCGGGUGGUUCAUCUCCUAGUGCAGCAUUAAGGACAUAAUCCUUCUUCCCAGCUUGUAAGAUUAGCUUAAGGUUACGAGCCCAGUCUACAAAGUUGCUUCCAUCAUCUUUCAACUUAGCUUUCUCUAGGAACGUAUUAAAAUNNNNNNNNNNNNNNNNNNNNNNNNNNNNNNNNNNNNNNNNNNNNNNNNNNNNNNNNNNNNNNNNNNNNNNNNNNNNNNNNNNNNNNNNNNNNNNNNNNNNCCAUGCGGACUUGACGGGGGGCCUUCCUCCAGUAUCUCACUGGCAGCUGGAUAAGCUAGAUACCAAAACUUUGAUAAAGAUUGAGGCAACCCAUUUGAGGAAGAACCGGACGGACCCCUGUGGUCGUCGAGUACAUGCCCUUCUUCCUGUCGCUGGUGAGCUUCCUCAACGGCGUCUGCUGGACGUCCUACGCUCUCAUCAAAUUCGACCUCUACGUCACGGUCAGUAAUAUCUCCAUCUUCAGGUUCCCGGUGUUGCUGAUCGAACUCAUUUUCUUUCGAGGAGAUCGAAAAUCUCUGAAUUUCUGCGAAACGAAUUUACAUAUUUAUUGCGAGGGGCUUUGAAAAGCGAAAGGAUGAAGACUGAUUUAGAUCCUCUGAAAGCGCGGGUUUGCUCCAUUUGAACUUGUCCACACUGGCAUAACCAGUAUCUCCCCGGAACUAAGAGGCAUGGAUACCCAUCUUUAUCGAUUCAAAGAAAUGAAUAAGUAUCAGCGAGGCAGGGAAUACGGGCCCGGUAGAGAUAGGGAUGAUCGGCAAGCGCUACGAGCGGGGCAAGGGUUGCAUCCGCUGUUUCAAGUCCGGACGGUUCCACUUUUUUAGUUUAGAUUCUUAUGCUGGACCUACAGCCCUAGCCUGGGACACCACUGUCGCAGUAAGCUCUGGCUGAAAUGAGUGGACGAAGUUCGGCUACCGCCAGGUGAUCCAUUAUCCAGUGCCGAUGUCGGAUCUGCCAGCUCUUCCCAUUAAUCGAUCAACUAAUUUAAAAAGUGAAUACCGCUCAUAACGGUGAUAUUGUAGGUUCGAGCCCUACUAAGCCCAUCUGACCUGCUUAAUCAAUGACUCCGGUAGUCACCUGAACCACUCUCUCGGAUAGCCCACAGCCUCUCUUCUGGAUGCGAAAGAAGAUUCGAUCAACGUCUCGAUACCCAUCAAGUGCGGUGUUCAGUAAGUCAAGUUUUUGUCAAGAUUUUUCCGGACUCCGCGAGGAUUCUGGCGGAGUGCUUUUCACAUAUAGAUAGGUCAAACUUAGAAACUAGCUUGCAAGAAAAGAAGAAAAUCAAGUAUACGUUUGCUUGUUGGCUUGAGCACUCGUUUCAGAAGAACCUUCUUUUGGGAUAACUCUUUCCGUUCUCUCCGUUCCACUUUGGUUUUCGACUAAUCUCUUAAUGAAGUUUUUAGCAACUCAUAUGGUCGAGUACUCCAUUAAACCUCUGAUGAGGAACAAUAAGCUUUACCAGUUAUCUGUUUCUAGGAUUACUCCAUCUGGGCGGGAUUUGGAUUCCCAUUUUUUCUUUGAAUGACAGCUUCAACUAGGCUCCACCUUAGAGAGGGUUUUCGGUUUGAAUCAAGAUAGUGUCCAGGCGAAGCCAAUAUUUUCGGAGUAACAAAAGGGAGCAGCCCCAUACCGACUUGAUUAUUCAAAUCUGCGAUUGGGAGCGGGAUCACCUACGAAAAAUAAAUUCGAAAUUAAUUCAAAAGGAAUGAGUUUUUUUGAGUGACGGAUCGGAAGAUUCAUUGGUUUCAUCCAAAGGCUUCUGUCUCGUCUUCCUCAAAUUGUUGAUCGAGGAUUGGAAAUCAAAGACAUUGCUAAAGCAAAUCUUCCUCCAACACUACUCCUUUCUCAUAGCUACAGCUACUAAUUCAGCAACUCUCAAAGCUAUAGCUUCUCCCCGUGGGUCUUACACUACAGUAAGUAAGGUCACUUGGCUUGGAAAGCUAGGCUAUUUCAGUGAUCCGUAGGUGAGGGACUCUUCAUAAGGUCCUCUUUCUAUCAAGGACCAGAUAACAACAAAGGAUUGCCUUUGAAUUGCAUUUCCUCUCGCAGCUCUCCUUUGCACCUCUCCGGACAGGUGUCUUCUUCUCGACACGUUCCUCUCCUUCGCACUGACAAGGUCUCUCUUACAACCUCCUCUGUCUUUGUUUUGUGAAACAUCGAAUACUGCAUCUACACGGCCAUAAUUGUUGUCUUAGUGAAAGAGGCCAGUCCCCUUUAUGUGUUCGAUAAGAUGACGUUGAGGUAUAUUGUCUUGGUUACACAUGCCACUCCCCUCCAUGUAUUUGCAAAAAUGCCUAAUAGAUGUACAAAACUACUAACACUACUGCAUAUUCUAAAUUGUUCUAUUGCCCCUGCAGUUUUCAUCUAAAUUGGAGUUUUUGGCGUCAAAAGGUGUUGCCUCUAUCCCUCUUUGUGUGAGGUUGAAGCCACUAACCUCUCUCUGUAUUUAAAAAAUAGAAAAAACUACUUGCUUCUCAAACUGUUGUUGUUGUAAUUGUUUUUGAGCUUGAAACUCUUCACUCUGAAAUAUUUAAAUUAUAGACAAUUAUUUAAUUUAUAAUAUUAAUUUUUUUUACUAUAGACUUUCAACCGGAGAAUCUCCUCUGUUCUGCUCAUGUCUUUUCAUUGCUUAGCUUUUCAAUUCAUAUCCUUCAUCCAAAAGAAAAGGAAUCUCCCUUUGUUAGAAGAAAGCGGGUUGUUGUUUUCGAGGAUAUGGUUAUAGUUCUUUAGGAAGAAGACAGCUCACUUCCCAUCAUCAUAUUCGAAUUCGAAGGAUCCCGCACCUGUAGCCUUUACUUCUCAACUACUUCUAUGCUCUUCUUGGCUCUUUUAAGACUGCUCAAUACUGCUGCUCUACACAGCUCUUAUCUCCAAAACCGAGGAAUUCUUUGCUAUUCUUUUCCGAUCUUUCCUCGAUUGAUCGACUAGGAUUGGGAAUUAGCGACUAGUUAUUUGAGGAAAGUAGUCAACAAAAGCACUUUACUUGGAUAUACCCACAACUAAAAUCAAAUAAAUGAGAUCACAUCCCUUCCCACCCCGUCUUUCAACGAAGGAAGCUUUACCGAUUCCAAUACCGGAUAUGCAGAUAGUGAUCUACAGGGGCUACUACUACAUUGACUUAUCUUGCUAGGGACCUUUCGACUCAAGGAAAUCCCAACACCCAUUCUAUACUCACUCUUUCAGGGAGAGCCCAUAAACCGGAUACGAACCUAUAUCUGUACCUUUACAAAAGAUAGCCCUAAGCCGGGAAAGGAGGAUUACGAAUUCAUGUAUCCCCUAAUUCAAAUAUCGAAAGCUCAAGGAAAGGUUUGCUUCUAGUGAAACUGAAUGGUAAAGGAGGGCGGGCAAAGGAGGUAUAUGUAGAGGUAGCAAGUGUAAGGUAGGAAGCUCAAGCUCAAGGUGUUGAGGCAAGUGAAAGGGAAUGUAUAGGUAGCUGGUAGAGUCAUGACAGUAUUCUAGUAGGUAGGGAUUUGUGUUGGUAAAGCUUAGCAGAGGUAUCCAUGAUUGUAGGGAUAGUCAUAGUCAUUGGAAAGCCUGCUUCUUUCUAGUAAUCUAUAUAGGACUAGUCAUACUUCCUUAUUGGAAUCCCUAUUUCUUGUUUGUUAUUCUAGUAGGAUUCCUCCCCCCAUGAGCAUGAGAUCAGAUCCAUUUCCAUUGCCUGUGUGUGAAGACUUGUGAUAGUUCUUGGCAUGCAUGUGUUUGUAUUGCUUUUGAUUGUCCACUUGUGUUGUGCUUGUGGUUGUGCUUGCACUUGUGGUGUGGUACUGCCUAGGAUGGGAUAAGCAUCAGGAAAGGAUGGGUUCUCGUAAUAUCUUCCCUUGUUUCUUAGGAUUGGAGUUUGCUUGACUGGUUCAUAGGUUGAGGUGGAAAGGCCUAUUUGCUUGCCGGGAGAUAGAAAGGAGGCUAGGGAAAGGGAAUUCUCUCGAGCAAGGGCCCGUUCUUGAUAUCAUUAUGGGGGGAAGUGGAAAUGAGAAUAGUGCCGGGUCAAGGGAAAAGCAAGCAUCUAAGUAUUUCUUCUCUAGGGUUGGUUCUCCCGUUUCAUAGUCUAAAAGAAGAGGCUUAUGUGUUUGAACUGUUUAUAGGUUGAGAAGCGCGGACUUCGAUCUUCCGUUCUGCUGGAAAUAGGCCAGUGCUUCCCUAGUUUCUAACCUGAGUGGAUAGACAGGAAAGGACAUGAACGUAUCUAUUCUCUCUUUGAGUUCCAGCUCCCCUCCAGAAUGUAGAGAUGAUCGGUGCUUUACUUUAAGAGGCCUUCCCGAGCCUAAUGAUGAGGAGGCUCCCUCCAAUAGGACUUGAC
This 41294-nucleotide long non-coding RNA is filed under the name Hordeum vulgare. RNAcentral's name for it is "long non-coding RNA (HVUL_LNC021151)". The stretch from base 19905 to 20038 matches the Rfam family "MIR1120/MIR1122 microRNA precursor family". The record is from RNAcentral. Lineage: Eukaryota; Viridiplantae; Streptophyta; Magnoliopsida; Poales; Poaceae.